Non-coding RNA from Acanthosepion pharaonis, 115 nucleotides. Lineage: Eukaryota; Metazoa; Mollusca; Cephalopoda; Sepiida; Sepiidae. The record is from the annotation of a GenBank genome assembly.
UGAUGGCCAUAUCGCGUUGAAACACUCCAGCUUCUGUACGAUCACCGAUGUUAAGCAACGUCGAACCUGGUCAAUACCUAGAUGGGUGACCGCUUGGGUAUUCCAAGUGCUGUGA